UGAAAAUUAUUAAAUCCUCACGUCGGUUGAUUGUGUCGGAACGACAAUCCAGAGCACAUAAACUCGACCAUGCAGCCAUCCAUACUUUGUACUUCUUCCUCUCUAGAGAACUAAAUGUUUACUGAUUACAAGCUCAUGCUCGAUGACAACACGUGAAUCAAGAAAAAACAAGGUUACAAAGACAGUUUGAGUGAAACACAAACUCAAAAUCGGCCCCCGAAGUGGUCCACCUAGAGUCUUCACCAGGAUUCGAAGUUCCAGUUCCAAAGUUGAAGACAAUCGACAUCCAAGUCCUUAACUCCCGCAGGACUACUGAUGAUGGCAGCGGCCUGGGAAUGAACCCGUGACAGGCGGACGGACGGACAGCCACAAUAAAGCAAUUUGCGGCUUUUCUCCUUUUGGGGGCCCCUAACAAGAAUUAAGUGGUGACCAGCCCACGUUAGUGUGAGCUCAAAGUAUGUCUCCUAACGUUUGUGACCUAGAUGGGAACAGAUCAAAACAAGUAGAGACUCUAUGUUUGAAGAUCAGUAGAGACCUACUUGUUUG
Long non-coding RNA from Biomphalaria glabrata, 546 nucleotides. RefSeq lists it as uncharacterized. The record is from RefSeq and is a predicted model, not a curated record. The transcript is spliced from 3 exons. NCBI's taxonomy places the organism in Eukaryota, Metazoa, Mollusca, Gastropoda, Planorbidae.